This 468-nucleotide ribosomal RNA is filed under the name Phaeoacremonium vibratile. RNAcentral's name for it is "eukaryotic LSU rRNA". The stretch from base 89 to 242 matches the Rfam family "5.8S ribosomal RNA". Lineage: Eukaryota; Fungi; Ascomycota; Sordariomycetes; Togniniales; Togniniaceae. The record is from RNAcentral.
CGGAGGAGCCCGCUCCGGCGGGCCGCCAGAGGACCCCAAACUCUUGUUUUAUACAGUAUCUUCUGAGUAACACGAUUAAAUAAAUCAAAACUUUCAACAACGGAUCUCUUGGUUCUGGCAUCGAUGAAGAACGCAGCGAAAUGCGAUAAGUAAUGUGAAUUGCAGAAUUCAGUGAAUCAUCGAAUCUUUGAACGCACAUUGCGCCCGCCAGUAUUCUGGCGGGCAUGCCUGUUCGAGCGUCAUUUCAACCCUCAAGCCCCCGGGCUUGGUGUUGGGGAUCGGCGUGCCCUCGCGGCGCGCCGUCCCCGAAAUCUAGUGGCGGUCUCGCUGUAGCUUCCUCUGCGUAGUAGCACACCUCGCACUGGAAAGCAGCGCGGCCACGCCGUUAAACCCCCCACUUCUGAAAGGUUGACCUCGGAUCAGGUAGGAAUACCCGCUGAACUUAAGCAUAUCAAUAAGCGGAGGAAG